RNAcentral lists this long non-coding RNA (236 nucleotides) under Mustela putorius furo (domestic ferret). RNAcentral describes it as "lncRNA (ENSMPUG00000029465.1)". Lineage: Eukaryota; Metazoa; Chordata; Mammalia; Carnivora; Mustelidae. The record is from RNAcentral.
GUUUGCUUCCCCAUUGGAGAGCGUUUGGCUGUUCCCAGUUUUGGGCAAUCAAACUACAGUGAAGUCUCUUGUCAAGAUUCCCCUGCUUCCUCCACCUCUGCCUCCUGACGGUCCCAGAUGCUUCCAGGUGUGGGCCCCAUGCGAUGGCAUGCCCCUCCCCUUGGAGACUGUGAGUAACAAUCUAUCAGGUUAAUGACAGUCACCUCCUGAUCUUUUGGCCUCACCGUAAUUAAAUA